This 305-nucleotide ribosomal RNA is filed under the name uncultured bacterium. RNAcentral's name for it is "bacterial SSU rRNA". It matches the Rfam family "Bacterial small subunit ribosomal RNA", at positions 337 to 644 of the family's 1533-position model. The record is from RNAcentral.
UCCUACGGGAGGCAGCAGUGAGGAAUAUUGGUCAAUGGGCGCGAGCCUGAACCAGCCAAGUCGCGUGAGGGAAGACGGUCCUAUGGAUCGUAAACCUCUUUUGUCGGGGAGCAAAAGACGCCACGCGUGGCGUUCCGAGAGUACCCGAAGAAAAAGCAUCGGCUAACUCCGUGCCAGCAGCCGCGGUAAUACGGAGGAUGCGAGCGUUAUCCGGAUUUAUUGGGUUUAAAGGGUGCGCAGGCGGAAGAUCAAGUCAGCGGUAAAAUUGCGGUGCUCAACGCCGUACAGCCGUUGAAACUGGCAGG